RNAcentral lists this long non-coding RNA (448 nucleotides) under Homo sapiens (human). Its description in RNAcentral is "HSALNT0333555". Lineage: Eukaryota; Metazoa; Chordata; Mammalia; Primates; Hominidae. The record is from RNAcentral.
AGCCUGAUGGCUCCACAUCUCAGGAGUAGGCUCUGAUUCCUUGGGGCCCCAGGAGCCUCUCAGGAGUCUACAUCCCAAGAUGUUCUAACUUCCAGAGUCUCCAAGCCCAUCAAGAGCAAGUUUUGCUAAAAGUGUUCUGAGAGCUUAUGAAGCACAUGGACAAGGAAGGGUUGUGCAUCCGGCUUUCCACCUUAAACUGGUUUCUAUGGUGCUUCAUCGAUGAGAUAAGGAUGCAUAGGAGACCCCAGGCCAGGAGUUCCUUCAGGACACACUGUCCUAGGCCUGGGCCCUGGAGGAGGACAUGGUGAUGAGGCACCCUGAGGCCUCCAUGGGGGAACUGAGAAGCAUGCACUGUGACCUGCACACCCAGCCAAACCUGAGCAAGCACCCCCACCACCCAGGCCUCUGCAGAUAUCCCCCAGCAUUGAGACCCUCCCCAAGGGGAUGG